CCUGAGAAACCCAAAAGAUCGAAUGGGGAGAUUCAUCGUCAGCGAUCCCGGCGCGUGUGCGGUUCGCGAUGUCGGGGACUUCGGUCCCGCGGCACGCGUCCGUACGUUCAAUUGUCGGGUGUCGUCGGCGUGCACUUCUCCCCUAGUAGGACGUCGCGACCCGUUGGGUGUCGGUCUACGGCCCGGGUGGGCGCCUGUCACGUGCAACGCUUCACGGCGUCGCGUGGCAGACCCCCGGUUGUCUGACCAGCUGCCCGGCGGUACUCGCACGGUAUCGGGCCGCAAAUAUUCGAACUGCGUCCGGCCCGCCGCAAGCGAGGCAAGUGUUUCCCGGAUGUACGGACCUAGCGCCGUCACCGGGCCUGGCCAGCUGUUGGUCGGCGGUGUCCUGGGACUGGCUCACGAAUUAUGAUACCGGUCGGCGACGCUACUGCUUUGGGUACUUUCAGGACCCGUCUUGAAACACGGACCAAGGAGUCUAACAUGUGCGCGAGUCAUUGGGAACUAAUAAGCCUAAAGGCGCAAUGAAAGUGAAGGUCGGCCCCGCGCCGACCGAGGGAGGAUGGGCCGCGUCACGAUUCGGUCCCGCACUCCCGGGGCGUCUCGUUCUCAUUGCGAGAAGAGGCGCACCCAGAGCGUACACGUUGGGACCCGAAAGAUG
RNAcentral lists this ribosomal RNA (661 nucleotides) under Klutiana sp. Jo83. RNAcentral's name for it is "eukaryotic LSU rRNA". It matches the Rfam family "Eukaryotic large subunit ribosomal RNA", at positions 420 to 825 of the family's 3401-position model. Lineage: Eukaryota; Metazoa; Arthropoda; Insecta; Hymenoptera; Ichneumonidae. The record is from RNAcentral.